UUCCAGCUCCAAUAGCGUAUAUUAAAGUUGUUGCAGUUAAAAAGCUCGUAGUUGGAUUUCUGAUGGAUGGGAUUGGUCCACCUCGCGGUGCGCACUGGUUCUGUCUGUUAUUCUCUUGUUGGCGGAUGGUGGCCUUAGUUGGCUGCUGUUUGUGCGCAAGACCUUUACUUUGAAAAAAUUAGAGUGUUCAAAGCAGGCGAUACGCUUGAAUACAUUAGCAUGGAAUAAUGGAAUAGGACUUUGGUUCUAUUUUGUUGGUUUCUAGGACCGAAGUAAUGAUUAAUAGGGACAGUUGGGGGCAUUAGUAUUUAAUUGUCAGAGGUGAAAUUCUUGGAUUUAUGAGAGACUAACUACUGCGAAAGCAUUUGCCAAGGAUGUUUUCAUCA
RNAcentral lists this ribosomal RNA (386 nucleotides) under Choanoflagellata sp. Its description in RNAcentral is "partial small subunit ribosomal RNA". It matches the Rfam family "Eukaryotic small subunit ribosomal RNA", at positions 583 to 975 of the family's 1831-position model. Lineage: Eukaryota; Choanoflagellata. The record is from RNAcentral.